GACGAACGCUGGCGGCGUGCUUAACACAUGCAAGUCGAACGGAAAGGCCCUGCUUUUGUGGGGUGCUCGAGUGGCGAACGGGUGAGUAACACGUGAGUAACCUGCCCUUGACUUUGGGAUAACUUCAGGAAACUGGGGCUAAUACCGGAUAGGAGCUCCUGCUGCAUGGUGGGGGUUGGAAAGUUUCGGCGGUUGGGGAUGGACUCGCGGCUUAUCAGCUUGUUGGUGGGGUAGUGGCUUACCAAGGCUUUGACGGGUAGCCGGCCUGAGAGGGUGACCGGCCACAUUGGGACUGCGAUACGGCCCAGACUCCUACGGGAGGCAGCAGUGGGGAAUAUUGCACAAUGGGCGGAAGCCUGAUGCAGCAACGCCGCGUGCGAGAUGACGGCCUUCGGGUUGUAAACCGCUUUCGCCUGUGACGAAGCGUGAGUGACGGUAAUGGGUAAAGAAGCACCGGCUAACUACGUG
Molecule: ribosomal RNA, 468 nt
Filed under: uncultured bacterium
Lineage: Bacteria
Description: partial 16S ribosomal RNA
Rfam family: Bacterial small subunit ribosomal RNA
Source: RNAcentral